UGCACGCUUUAAAAAAUAAUAAAUAAAUAAAUUGAAUACUUCAGUCUCCAAUGAAUCAAUUCUGCAGUCUCAAAGUCUCUCAGCUGGUGACCAGUCGGGUCACUAUCUACCCGUGCGCCUGGUCCUCUGGGCUGGGGCUCCAUCCAGGUUCAGGAGAAUCUCUGGCCCUCCAGGCCAAAAGUGAAUCAUAUAAGCUCCAAAAACCUGACCUAUAACAAGGCCAAAGUAAAACAUCUUAGCACAUAAGAUGCCAGCAUCACUAAAGCUUAAGCUAUAUUUAAUCAUUUCUCAAGUUCUUAUGUUGUACAACAACAAGUUUACAGAAUACAAAUUUUCCAACAUAUUAGUAAAAUUAAAGAGAUUAGCUUAUAUGUGGUAAAAAAAGAAUAUAAUAUACAUUUGUGGUGGGAUGGUGUUCCACCCUCCCAACUACACACACCAGGUGUAGCGACUGAUUGGUGGGCGGGCCAGAUAGCUUUAAAGCUGAGCAGUCCGCUGCGAGGUGUGUGUGUCUUUGUUUCCUUUACUGUAUGUUGGCUGCCCAAGUGGCUGGUGUGCUCGAUCCACUCAUCCAAAAUACGUUGCGCGGCUGGAGUUGGCGGCUGCAGUUGGAGGUUGGUGCGGCGAGCGGCUUCCAUCCAGCCCUCGCCUGCUGAUCCGCUCCCUCCCUGGUCGGCUGUGUCACCACAUCUGGGAUUCUUUCGGAGUCGCAGCGCUUGGACGCUCCUGCUGUCUCGUCUUGCCGGUUUUGUUUGGGCCGCUCUCGACGGAGCCUGCGGACGUUUGGGCUGGCGGAACGAGCGGGGCACGAUUCCUCUGGCCCCGUGAAAGGACAUUAGAAGUCUGACAACAACAAUUUGUCCCAUCGUUUGCAGUGGUUGUGUUCUUUUCUUUGCCGUUUGUUUGCUUAUUAUUUAAAUUACUAAUUUGUUUGCUUUCCUUUGUUUUGAUUUACUAAUUUGUUUUCUUUUGCGUUGCAUGUUUUGUUUGUUCAUUCAUUUUGUUGGGAAUAAUUUAAAUUGUCCUUAUUUUGAUGCCUUUUCCUUUUAGGGGCUGAGUAGUGGGCCUGAGGCCAUGUUUUAAAAGAAAAGUGUUUUAAUGAAAUUGGUUAAUAAAUCAUUGUAGACUA
This is a long non-coding RNA of Gambusia affinis (western mosquitofish), 1129 nucleotides long. RefSeq lists it as uncharacterized. Lineage: Eukaryota; Metazoa; Chordata; Actinopteri; Cyprinodontiformes; Poeciliidae. The transcript has 3 exons. The record is from RefSeq and is a predicted model, not a curated record.